UACGGAGGGUGCAAGCGUUAUCCGGAUUUACUGGGUUUAAAGGGUGCGCAGGCGGAUAUGUAAGUCAGUGGUGAAAUCUCCGGGCUUAACCCGGAAACUGCCGUUGAUACUAUAUAUCUUGAAUGCUGUGGAGGUAAGCAGAAUAUGUCAUGUAGCGUUGAAAUGCUUAGAGAUGACAUAGAAUACCUAUUGCGAAGGCAGCUUACUACGCAGAUAUUGACGCUCAUGCACGAAAGCGUGGGGAUCAAACAGG
Molecule: ribosomal RNA, 253 nt
Filed under: uncultured bacterium
Lineage: Bacteria
Description: partial 16S ribosomal RNA
Rfam family: Bacterial small subunit ribosomal RNA
Source: RNAcentral